This 57-nucleotide transfer RNA is filed under the name Gnathostomula paradoxa. RNAcentral's name for it is "tRNA-Asn". The record is from RNAcentral. Lineage: Eukaryota; Metazoa; Gnathostomulida; Bursovaginoidea; Gnathostomulidae.
UAAAUUUUAGCUUAAUCUAUAGCAUUAGGCUGUUACCCUGAAGAUAAAAAGAUUUUC